Molecule: ribosomal RNA, 253 nt
Filed under: uncultured bacterium
Lineage: Bacteria
Description: partial 16S ribosomal RNA
Rfam family: Bacterial small subunit ribosomal RNA
Source: RNAcentral
UACGUAGGGUGCGAGCGUUGUCCGGAAUUAUUGGGCGUAAAGAGCUCGUAGGCGGUCUGUCGCGUCGGUCGUGAAAACUUGGGGCUUAACUCCAAGCUUGCGGUCGAUACGGGCAGACUAGAGUGAUGUAGGGGAGACUGGAAUUCCUGGUGUAGCGGUGAAAUGCGCAGAUAUCAGGAGGAACACCGAUGGCGAAGGCAGGUCUCUGGGCAGUAACUGACGCUGAGGAGCGAAAGCAUGGGGAGCGAACAGG